RNAcentral lists this unclassified non-coding RNA (336 nucleotides) under uncultured fungus. RNAcentral describes it as "sequence contains ITS1". Lineage: Eukaryota; Fungi. The record is from RNAcentral.
CCCCCCUCGAAAGCCGCGUCGACGAACCACUGCGGUGGCGGGAAAUACACGCGAAUUGCGUUCGCGCCUAAGCGCGCAAUGUGACCCAGAUCCGACUUCGCUUGGUCACGGUCCGGGAGGGCCUCCCCAUCCGCAUUGGGAGCAAAUGGACCGUAAGAGAAUCCCUUCAAAGACCACUUGUGAUCGUCGAUUCGAAAGAACUUCCCAGCCACCUUGACUCGCGUGGCAUCCAUCAUUCGAGCGCGCAUUAUCGAGGUCGUACGGGGUUCAGCAGCUGCGAAACAAGGAAAAAAACAACACCAAGAUCCCGUCUACCCCACUGAAGCAAUCGAACCA